RNAcentral lists this ribosomal RNA (257 nucleotides) under uncultured bacterium. RNAcentral describes it as "partial 16S ribosomal RNA". It matches the Rfam family "Bacterial small subunit ribosomal RNA", at positions 29 to 319 of the family's 1533-position model. The record is from RNAcentral.
ACGAACGCUGGCGGCAGGCCUAACACAUGCAAGUCGAGCGCCCAGCAAUGGGAGCGGCGCACGGGUGAGUAACACGUGGGAACGUGCCCUUUGGUUCGGAAUAACGCAGGGAAACUUGUGCUAAUACCGGAUAAGCCCUACGGGGAAGAUUAUCGCCAUUGGAGCGGCCCGCGUCUGAUUAGCUAGUUGGUGAGGUAACGGCCCACCAAGGCAACGAUCAGUAGCUGGUUUGAGAGAACGACCAGCCACACUGGGAC